Molecule: non-coding RNA, 32 nt
Filed under: unclassified sequences
Description: S4-Flavobacteria ribosomal protein leader
Rfam family: S4-Flavobacteria ribosomal protein leader
Source: RNAcentral
GAUUGUCGAAGGAACGACCUUAAUUCACAAUC